Long non-coding RNA from Dicentrarchus labrax (European seabass), 4512 nucleotides. The record is from Ensembl. NCBI's taxonomy places the organism in Eukaryota, Metazoa, Chordata, Actinopteri, Moronidae.
GUGGAGCAGGUCAAGUCCAGCUCUCAGCAGGUGGAACAGCUUCAGCUCAGCAACUUCAGGUCACUCUGGACCACUCAGUGUGAUGGACAUACUCAACCUGUGGAAUGAUGACCCGGAAGAGGUUCUCUUGGACCUGGGCUUUGGCUGUGAUGAACCUGACCUCUCUGGACGCAUUCCAGCUCGAUUCAUCAAUCAUCAGUCUCAAGCGAGGGGAAUAAACCUCCAGGUGUUUCUGGAGGCCCAGAAGAACCGGCUGGACCUUGAGAAUCCAGAUGUCAGCAGUAAGCCUACAUUUUACCACUAUGAUCUGUGAUAUAUGUGAGUUAUGUAUGACAAUGUUUCGUCAUUUGUCGUUACAUACUGAUGGCAGAGGCUGCAAUGCAAGCAAAUUGCUCGUCAGAAACUAACUAACCAAUUCACACACAGUCCCUCACUCGCAUUGGGAGAAACUUAGGGUUUAGUGUCUUGCUCAAGGACACAACAUGCAGCGCGGGUCGAACCUUUUGAUUAGUGGACAUCUUGAGCCCAUGGUUUGAUAUUCUCUGUGACAACUGGUGUAUCAGUGAAUCAGUGACCUGUUCCAUGACUAUCAACAGAUCUGUAUGGAAGCCCAUUUCCGCCAGUGUGAUGAAAAAACGGAUCUUGUAAUUAUUUCUUUAAUAAACUUUCUCAAAAUAAUGACUUAGUAACUUUCUCAAAAUCCUGGAAAACUUUCUUAAUAUAGUGAUAAUAAUAAUAAUAAUAAUACAUACAGGAUCUUUUUUCAUCACAUUGAUGUAGAAAUGGGCUGCAUACUGUACCUGUUACAAAUUUGUUGACAAACUUUUUACUUGUAACCUCUCUUCUCCACUCUCUCCUUCAGAUCGUUUUCGACAGCUCGAGGUUCUCCAGCAGGUAACUACAGCAUUCUCUUCCUUAAUGGGGUCAUCCUGCACCCCUCUCAGAGCACCACAUGGGAAAGACCUGCCUCCUGAGGCCUGGGAGAGGAGGAGGCGUAUGGGCAUGCUGUUCAGAAGAGCAUCAAAGAAGUCACUCAGCCAAAUCCACAACAAUAAAACGCACGACCCAGGUGCUACACCUGAGUCACUGCAAUCUCCACUUAGCCUUGGAGACAAGAAAUUCCCCUUGAAAAGAGUCAAACCUGGACUUCAGGAGAUUGUGUGUCUGAGUCCUCUGGCAGAGGAGCAAGGAGCUGGGCCAGACCCUCAGUCCAAGUCUGACGUGGCUUCUUUAAUAGCCAAGGAAGGAGCACACAGACCCUGGCCACUGAAGGAAGGUCACCCUGUGACAACCAGCACUUUUUCACAGAGAAAGAAGAGCCCAGGGAAGGCCAGGGAAUCAUUUGAAAUGGAAGAGAUCCACAGUUUUGAUGAAAGUAGUGUCACAGGGAGCUACAUAGGAGGAGCAGAACAUUUAGCACAGGGUGUAAUUCGGACCAACAGCUGCCAGUCAGACAGCAGUGGCUUUCUAGAAGAGCUCUUCAUUCCCUCUCUCUCUCAGCAGGCGUCACCAGGAUCUGAUCUCAUCAAGGCUCUGUCAGGCCUAUCAGGAGGGAGCACUGACAGCCAAAGCAGUGAGAAGCCAGGCCCCCGGUCUCAGUUUUCACCACCUCCCUUCUGCUCCUCAUCUCCUAUCUCUUCUGGUGUUGACAAAUCGCCGUGUCCUUCACCAGAGCCUUCUUUAGUUUUUUACCCACCCCUUCCUCCUGUCUUGUUGUGUUUCCCAAAAUCUGACAUGCAAAUUUCAGAGAUGGCGAAACUACCAGAUCAGGAUCCUCCUUGCUCUUCCUCACCCAAGAUACAGGACGUAACUCCCUUCCAGUAUCCAACUCUCCCUUCUGCUACCUCUCUUCCCCCUACAUCUUCCCCCAUACAGCCUGCCUCAUUGAGUAGAGGGUUAGAGGAUAUUAAAACUGAGGACGAGGAUCCUCCAUCCCCCUACCUCUCUAUACUUUCACAUGACUCUGAAGGUACAACAUGCUCUACCUUUUCCAAUGUCCCUCCUCCUGCCUCAUCUCCUUCUCCCACUCCAAAUUUGAAUGGUCAGUUUUCUGCCUCAAUGUCUAUGUCUUCUACACAGUCUGACUCCUCUUCUGGGAGUCCAGGGAACACACAGUCAGAACAGACUUAUUUACCUCCAACUACCCUUCCUGAUUUUCAUUGUCUAUCCUCUUUAUCUUCUCCUCCACUUAUUCAGUCCCUCUCACAGAGAGAAAACAAUCAAAAAGAUUCCUUUUUCCCAGACUCAAGUGGAUUAGGCCUCUCUGAUCCACUUGCCAAUGCAGAGAAAGAGGAAGAAACACCCUCCUCUUCAUGUUCUCAGUUGGACAAGGACAAUCCCUUAGUUCCACCCUCUCUUUUUCUGGACUCCUCUAAGUCUGAGAUGGGUUGUGCCACACUGCCCUGCCUAUUUCCUAAUCCUCCCAUUCCAGUUUGUCCAUCUGCCUUGUCAUCACAGUUGCAUGAUCCAGAUGUUCUUGUAGAUCCAGCUGUUGGCAGAAUUUCAGACCUGACAGAGCAGUCCAUCUCGCAACAGGACAGAUCGUGUUUUCAUGAAGAUGACAAAAGCCCUUCUUCAGCCUCUCCUGUCCAAGAUGUUAUACAUGUUAAGACGGAUCAGUUCUGUCUGGACUCAGAGGAUACCCUUCAGAGGAAUAGGAAGGGAGAGAUAGAGGGUGAGAGACAUACUGACACUGUCCAGACUCGAAUGGCUGUUGUUUACGACUCAGAUACAGAGAGUUCUGCGGGUCUGUCAGAAGGUUUUAGAUUAAUCUCUAAGGAAGAAUGUAACCAAACAGUAAUAGAUCCACAGGUCCUUUCCUGUGGUUUGCAUGAUGAGAUUUCAACUGAAACCAAACUGGAAGAGUUAAGAAAAGUCUGUCAGAUGAAAAUGAAUGACACAGAAAUUGAAUCACCUAGAGGUUCUUUAGUUUUACGUGAUGAAGUUCCAGAGGCACACAGCAGAACUAAAGUUGAACCAAAGGAUCUAAUUGAGAUUGACAGCUUAGAUCUGGUAUUUCAAUCCUCAGUGGAUGGCUCAGAAGGUGAAAACGGAGAUGUGGAUGCCUUUUUUCAGCAACUUGAUACUGAAGGGCGAGCCUAUUGGGCAGAACCCAUCCAGGUUUCCAGUGCAACUCCGGUGGAGUCAGGCAGCUUUGAAGCCUCAGAUGGAUCUCAUGGGAAUUCUCUCUUGCCUAGAGUCCCAGCUGCUCUAGAUUCAUUUUCAUCCAUGGGCCAAGCUAUCCCCUCAUCUUCAUCCUUAGCAUCAAUAAAUACUGACCAGACCUCUAGAAAUGCAACCGCCUCAUCAGAUACACCCUCCCCCUUGACUCUAACCACCUUUCCAUCCCCAUCUGCAACCCCAGACGUCAAACCAUCAAUCUGCUCUGUUUCUGUCCAGAUGUCUUCAUCUCCAUCUUCUCAUAUUAUCCACAGGAAGGAUAUUCCGUAUGUGACUGACUCAAAACACACCCUUCUCCCUAGUGUUCUCCCUUUGGACACUUCCACACCCUUUCGUGCUGUCCAGUCAUGGACAGACCUACAGAUUCAACGAAACACUCUCACCAAGAAGCUAUCAUACGAGGCUUUUAAUGCAGUCCCAAGCCAGGUGUCUGUAUCCAUGAGUGCCUUAGAAACAAUGCAUAGACCUACAGUGGUCUUCUCUUCAUCUCCAGUUUUCCCUCUGCUGUGUAAUGACCGGCAGCCACAGGACUGUCAUCCUGUGGUGGCUAGAAGCAACCGUACUGUGUCAGUCUCUGCCGAUAAAGGGCAGUGGUCAGAUGAGGAGGAAGAAGUGGACAGGAAUGGAAAUGAAGAUGAGGGGAAGCUUUGGGAGGGCAACCAGACAGCCACCAUGGAAUACCAAUGCUCCUGUGACCAUCAGUGUCACUGCUGUACUCAGAAGAGUUAUGAAAAGCGAUACCUUUUGGGAAACAUUCCUUACUCUCUGGAUGAGUUGGAGGAGAUGAUGCUGUGUCUGCAGCAGUUUUGCUCUGUGCUCAACAACAUGGAGGAGCAGCUAUCUGAAGACCAGGCUGCAGUUUACAGUGCUCUCUCUGACCAGGACAGGGAGAAGGUUCGGGACAUAGAGGAGCUGAGGCGAGCAGUGAAACAGGAGGUUGCAGAGCUGGAGAUGCAGUUGAAUGACCUAGCCCAUCACUACGAUGACAGCCUGAAAAUGAAGAUGCACAGACUGUUGGAUGAGCAGUCUCUGCUCUGCUCUCAACUAAGAGUCUUUCUACCUGGUGCGGCACCCACAUCAUUGAGCCCCGCCCCCAACAGGACAGUGGCCACUCAGUGCAGUCUGCUGCCCUGGAUCUCUCUGACUGAAGUGCAGAGUGGCCACAUCACCUGCAAUGUGGACUCCCCCAGACAGUCCCCUCCUGGAUCAGAGAGCAUCUGUGAGGGCCUUGGCUGUUCUCCCGCAAAGGCAGACAAGCUGGACAUAGUGGGCUUCCUCCAGAGAUUGAAGGAGUCCUUGCGUCAGUCUGUGAACACUGACUCGUUGGAAUAA